UUAGAGUUUGAUCAUGGCUCAGGAUGAACGCUAGCGGGAGGCCUAACACAUGCAAGCCGAGCGGUAUUGUUUCUUCGGAAAUGAGAGAGCGGCGUACGGGUGCGGAACACGUGUGCAACCUGCCUUUAUCUGGGGGAUAGCCUUUCGAAAGGAAGAUUAAUACUCCAUAAUAUAUUGAACGGCAUCGUUUAAUAUUGAAAGCUCCGGCGGAUAGAGAUGGGCACGCGCAAGAUUAGCUAGUUGGUGAGGUAACGGCUCACCAAGGCGAUGAUCUUUAGGGGGCCUGAGAGGGUGAUCCCCCACACUGGUACUGAGACACGGACCAGACUCCUACGGGAGGCAGCAGUGAGGAAUAUUGGUCAAUGGGUGCAAGCCUGAACCAGCCAUCCCGCGUGAAGGACGACUGCCCUAUGGGUUGUAAACUUCUUUUGUAUAGGGAUAAACCUACCCUCGUGAGGGUAGCUGAAGGUACUAUACGAAUAAGCACCGGCUAACUCCGUGCCAGCAGCCGCGGUAAUACGGAGGGUGCAAGCGUUAUCCGGAUUUAUUGGGUUUAAAGGGUCCGUAGGCGGACUUAUAAGUCAGUGGUGAAAGCCUGUCGCUUAACGAUAGAACUGCCAUUGAUACUGUAAGUCUUGAGUAUAUUUGAGGUAGCUGGAAUAAGUAGUGUAGCGGUGAAAUGCAUAGAUAUUACUUAGAACACCAAUUGCGAAGGCAGGUUACCAAGAUAUAACUGACGCUGAGGGACGAAAGCGUGAGGAGCGAACAGGAUUAGAUACCCUGGUA
This 786-nucleotide ribosomal RNA is filed under the name uncultured bacterium. RNAcentral describes it as "bacterial SSU rRNA". It matches the Rfam family "Bacterial small subunit ribosomal RNA", at positions 1 to 792 of the family's 1533-position model. The record is from RNAcentral.